Molecule: ribosomal RNA, 499 nt
Filed under: uncultured bacterium
Lineage: Bacteria
Description: partial 16S ribosomal RNA
Rfam family: Bacterial small subunit ribosomal RNA
Source: RNAcentral
AUUGAACGCUGGCGGUAUGCUUAACACAUGCAAGUCGAACGAUGAGAAAGAGCCUGCUCUUUCGAUUAGUGGCGGACGGGUGCGUAACGCGUAGGAAUCUACCUAUUAGUGGGGGACAACUUAGGGAAACUUAAGCUAAUACCGCAUACGCCCUACGGGGGAAAGAAGGGGAUCGCAAGACCUUUUGCUAAUAGAUAAGCCUGCGUAGGAUUAGCUAGUUGGUGGGGUAAAAGCUCACCAAGGCGACGAUCCUUAACUGGUUUGAGAGAAUGAUCAGUCACACUGGAACUGAGACACGGUCCAGACUCCUACGGGAGGCAGCAGUGGGGAAUAUUGGACAAUGGGCGAAAGCCUGAUCCAGCAAUACCGCGUGUGUGAAGAAGGCCUUAGGGUUGUAAAGCACUUUCAAUUGGAAGGAAAACCUCGAAGCUAAUACCUUCGAGUUUGACAUUACCUUUAGAAGAAGCACCGGCUAACUCCGUGCCAGCCGCCGCGGUAA